RNAcentral lists this ribosomal RNA (514 nucleotides) under uncultured bacterium. Its description in RNAcentral is "bacterial SSU rRNA". It matches the Rfam family "Bacterial small subunit ribosomal RNA", at positions 447 to 949 of the family's 1533-position model. The record is from RNAcentral.
GAAAUCGCACGGGCUAAUAUCCUGUGUGGAUGACGGUACCGGAAUAAGAAGCACCGGCUAACUACGUGCCAGCAGCCGCGGUAAUACGUUAGGGUGCGAGCGUUAAUCGGAAUUACUGGGCGUAAAGCGUGCGCAGGUCGGUUUGAUAAGACAGGCGUGAAAUCCCCGGGCUUAAACCUGGGAACUGCGCUUGUGACUGUCUCACUAGAGUACGGCAGAGGGGGGUUGGAAUUCCACGUGUAGCAGUGAAAUGCGUAGAGAUGUGGAGGAACACCGAUGGCGAAGGCAGCCCCCUGGGCCGAUACUGACGCUCAUGCACGAAAGCGUGGGGAGCAAAACAGGAUUAGAUACCCUGGUAGUCCACGCCCUAAACGAUGUCUACUAGUUGUUGGGGUAGCAAUACCUCAGUGACGCAGCUAACGCGUGAAGUAGACCGCCUGGGGAGUACGGUCGCAAGAUUAAAACUCAAAGGAAUUGACGGGGGCCCGCACAAGCGGUGGAUUAUGUGGAUUAA